RNAcentral lists this ribosomal RNA (1363 nucleotides) under metagenome. RNAcentral describes it as "bacterial LSU rRNA". It matches the Rfam family "Bacterial large subunit ribosomal RNA", at positions 1541 to 2925 of the family's 2925-position model. The record is from RNAcentral.
ACGCCAGGCGUAAGGCUGAAACUUGAUAGGGAGCGAAAAUAAGUAGCGAAGCAUGCGAAUCCCCGCUGGCGAGAAAAGAUGCUGGCAAUGAUAUGGGCGCCCGUACCGCAAACCGACGCAGGUGGGCGAGGAGAGAAUCCUAAGACGAACGAGAGAACUCUUGUUAAGGAACUCGGCAAAAUGACCACGUAACUUCGGGAGAAGUGGUGCCUCGAAAGAGGCCGCAGAGAAUAGGCCCAAGCGACUGUUUAGCAAAAACACAGGUGUUUGCGAAAGCGAGAGCUGAAGUAUAAGCGCUGACGCCUGCCCGGUGCUGGAAGGUUAAGAGGAGUUGUCAGGCAACGAAGCAGCGAAUCGAAGCCCCAGUAAACGGCGGCCGUAACAAUAACGGUCCUAAGGUAGCGAAAUUCCUUGUCGGGUAAGUUCCGACCCGCACGAAUGGCGUAACGACUUGGGUACUGUCUCAACAAGAGACUCGGUGAAAUUGAAGUAUGUGUGAAGAUGCACAUUACCCGCGACUGGACGGAAAGACCCCGUAGAGCUUUACUGUAGCUUAGCAUUGGAUUUCGAUAAUGGAUGUACAGGAUAGGUGGGAGACUGGGAGACUGUGGCGUCAGCUGCAGAGGAGUCGGUGUUGGGAUACCACUCUUCUGUUAUUGAAAUUCUAACAAGCAGCCGUGAACCGGCGCUUGGACCGUGCUAGGUAGGCAGUUUGACUGGGGCGGUCGCCUCCCAAAGAGUAACGGAGGCGCCCAAAGGUUCCCUCAGAAUGGAUGGAAACCAUUCGAAGAGUGCAAAGGCAGAAGGGAGCCUGACUGCGAGACGGACAGGUCGAGCAGAGAGGAAACUCGGGCUUAGUGAUCCGGCGGUAUUGAGUGGAAAAGCCGUCGCUCAACGGAUAAAAGCUACCUCGGGGAUAACAGGCUGAUCUCCCCCAAGAGUCCACAUCGACGGGGAGGUUUGGCACCUCGAUGUCGGCUCGUCGCAUCCUGGGGCUGAAGCAGGUCCCAAGGGUUUGGCUGUUCGCCAAUUAAAGCGGCACGCGAGCUGGGUUCAGAACGUCGUGAGACAGUUCGGUCCCUAUCCAUCGUGGGCGAAGGAAUCAUGAAAGGAGCUGUCCCUAGUACGAGAGGACCGGGAUGGACGCAUCACUGGUGAAACUGUUGUCGUGCCAACGGCAUAGCAGGGAAGCGAAAUGCGGACGGGAUAAACGCUGAAGGCAUCUAAGCGUGAAGCCCACCUUAAGAUAAAGAUUCCCACAGCGUAAGCUGGUAAGACCCCUUGAAGACGACAAGGUUGAUAGGUCAGCGCUGGAAGCGCGGUAACGCGUGGAGGUUGCUGAUACUAAUAGGUCGAGGGCUUG